Strigops habroptila (Kakapo) is the source of this 1798-nucleotide RNA transcript. It is a transcript of the gene named chondrolectin, with no coding region annotated. The record is from RefSeq and is a predicted model, not a curated record. The transcript has 8 exons. Lineage: Eukaryota; Metazoa; Chordata; Aves; Psittaciformes; Psittacidae.
GGUCCCGGCCACCCGCCUGGGUUGUCCCUCGGCUGGGGGAGCAGAUAAAGGCAGGGCCACGGCAAGGAGGGGAGGAGGUGGCGGGAAGCAGCGUGGAGCCGGGCGGGCGCCCCUUCCUCACCGGCGGGCAUCGGCCUGCCUUGAGCCCUUCUCGGAGGGCAGCGGGACGGCCGCUAUGGGGUCCGGAGGCCGGUUGGGGCUGGCGGCAGUACUGGCGGCCGCCGUGCUGUGCGGGCCCGGAGGGCUCGCCGGGCGGGUCCUCAGCGGUCAAAAGGUGUGUUAUGGUGACUUCAAGCGUUCUUGUUACAAGUUAGCUUAUUUCCAGGACUUGUCUAGACGUGUGGGCUUUCAGGAGGCCCGACAAGCUUGUGAAUUUGAUGGUGGGUCUUUACUGAGCUUGGAAAGUGAAGCUGAACAGCAACUAAUAGAAAACAUGUUGCAAAACCUCACUAAAUCAGGCGCUGGGAUUUCUGAUGGUGAUUUCUGGAUUGGGUUGUGGAGAAGCAGUGAUGGACUAGCUACCUCAAGUGCCUGCCCUGACCUCUACCAGUGGGCUGAUGGAAGUAUUUCACCAUUCAGAAAUUGGUAUACAGAUGAACCUUCCUGUGGAAGUGAAGCCUGUGUUGUGAUGUAUCAUCAGCCAACUGCAAACCCUGGUCUGGGAGGGCCAUAUCUUUAUCAAUGGAAUGAUGAUAGAUGUAACAUGAAGCACAAUUUUAUCUGCAAGUAUGCUCCUGAUAUUGUGUUAGAAAAAGAGUUAAGAGACAGAGCGGAGCCAGAUUACGAUAUUUUUCCAACAGUGCCAGCAGGAAAUCCUUAUCACACAAGCAAACCAGAAGAUCAGUAUCAUGUUAUUGCUACUGAAACAGGUAUAAUUCCGAAUCUAAUUUAUGUUGUAAUACCCACUAUACCACUACUGCUAUUGAUACUGGUGGCUUUUGGGACUUGCUGUUUCCAGAUGCUUCAUAAAAGGCUUCCACAACAUGGUGACCUUUCCUCUGAAAGCCACAAUCCAUGGCCAACCAGGACAUGCCUAGCUUGAAAGGUCAUGACUAAUUUUGCCUAGCAUUGGGCUCUUAAAGGGUAGUAGUAAGACAAAGCAAAACAUGGUCCCUGUAGCUAGCAGAAAUGAUCAGCUCAUUCAUUCUUAGAUGCUCUCCCUUUCAUUUCUUCCAGGGAAGCAAGGAGAAACUGCUUCAAAGACCCAUCUCCAUUAUCAUCUGAAUGCCUUGCAGAAAGUUUAAAUUCCAACCUGUAAAGGAAGAACAAAAACCAGUCCAAACCAGUCCACACUGUGGAUUUCAAAGACGCCUAGGAAGGACAGUAGCAUGGAGGUAUAAUGACUUACUGACUGAAAACAAAGCAAAAAUAACAUUCUGCAGUCGGGCUGUAUUAUGUUGUCAAAGAACAUUAGCUUGGAAUGGCUUGAAAAUGCAAAGGAUCUACAAGAAUGAACUGUAAGCUCCCCCUUGAGGCAAAUGUUCAGAUCAUUUUUAUAUAAUGUUUGAUUAUUAAUUCAGUAACAAAAUAUGCCGUGCUAAAUAAAGGGUAUGUGUUUAUUUUGCUAAGAGAUGUAAGUUAGCUAGUUGUGAGCAAUGAAAUGAACAGAGUGUUUGAAGUUUUUAUGAGGAAAUAGCUACAAUGUAUAUCAGUUUUAAGACUGUUUGUAGUUAAACAAACUCUCUUUGUUUCCUUUAGUCUUUCAUGCAUUGUAACCUAGUUGAUGUACUGUAAAUGGAACUGACAAUUUUACAGUGUAACAAUUAUUUAUCUUUGCAUAAAUGUUUGAUACAAAAUA